Molecule: ribosomal RNA, 305 nt
Filed under: uncultured bacterium
Lineage: Bacteria
Description: bacterial SSU rRNA
Rfam family: Bacterial small subunit ribosomal RNA
Source: RNAcentral
GACUCCUACGGGGGGCAGCAGUGAGGAAUAUUGGUCAAUGGACGAGAGUCUGAACCAGCCAAGUAGCGUGAAGGAUGACUGCCCUAUGGGUUGUAAACUUCUUUUAUAUGGGAAUAAAAUGUUCCACGUGUGGGAUUUUGUAUGUACCAUAUGAAUAAGGAUCGGCUAACUACGUGCCAGCAGCCGCGGUCAUACGUAGGAUCCGAGCAUUAUCCGGAGUGACUGGGUGUAAAGAGUUGCGUAGGUGGCAUAAUAAGUAGCUAGUGAAAUCUGGUGGCUCAACCAUUCAGACUAUUAGCUAAACU